CCGGCCACCCGGGCCCGGCUUUUCUCUCUCGCUGAAGUUACGCCCCCCGUUCUCGGGAUCCCCGACGCGGCGUUUCUUCGCCUUCCACCGCCGCGGGGUAGCGCCCUGGAGACGGGCGUCCCCGCCCCGGACUCAGAAAAUACUUCACCAGACGAAGAGAUGAGAGUCUAGAGGGACGUGUGCUAAUAUAUAAUUAUCAUGGCCUAAAUACUGCUUAUGUCUAAGAAUUUAAAAACCAGCAAAAGAAGAAUAACUGUUAAUGCCAAAGAUUGGGGGAGAACAAGAAGAAUGUUAAUAGAAUAUCAGGUCUUCUGAAUGAUGUUUCUCAAAGUAUUAUCCAUGAACCAUCUGCAUCCACAUUUUUUGAUGUUCCAGUCAAAAGUUCAGAUUCCUGACUCCAAUCACAGUCUUACUGGAUUGGAAUCUCACAGGAUCAGGCCCAGAAAUGGGACUUUUUAUAUCCACAGUUAAUUUGUUGAAGAAAAAACAAAAACAGCAGCAUGUAUUUGGUGCCUGUUAUCUCACAGAACCCCUGCAUGGAGCUGGAGAUACAGAAGUCUGUAUUCCUCUGUCCUAUCUCAGCCUAAGAAAUAAUCUGUCGGGCCGGUAGAGUGGGACUUCCACGGUGGCACAGCGGGUUGAGGGCAGCACUGUGAAGCUAUCCAAAGCCUCUGCAGCACGGGUUCGAUUCUCUGCAGGCCAGGGAGAUACCCACAUGGCACAGCAGACCUCUUCUGCCUCGCCCACAGCCCCCCUCAGCAGUGUCUUUGGUCCGUCUGCCUGUUCUGCUCCCUACUCUGUCUCUGGUGAAUCCUCUCACCUUCCCACACCUCUGGCCUGUA
This is a long non-coding RNA of Talpa occidentalis (Iberian mole), 842 nucleotides long. RefSeq lists it as uncharacterized. The record is from RefSeq and is a predicted model, not a curated record. Lineage: Eukaryota; Metazoa; Chordata; Mammalia; Eulipotyphla; Talpidae. The transcript is spliced from 5 exons.